UAAGCGACUAAGCGUACACGGUGGAUGCCCUGGCAGUCAGAGGCGAUGAAGGACGUGCUAAUCUGCGAUAAGCGUCGGUAAGGUGAUAUGAACCGUUAUAACCGGCGAUUUCCGAAUGGGGAAACCCAGUGUGUUUCGACACACUAUCACUAACUGAAUCCAUAGGUUAAUGGGGCGAACCGGGGGAACUGAAACAUCUAAGUACCCCGAGGAAAGAAAUCAACCGAGAUUCCCCCAGUAGCGGCGAGCGAACGGGGAGCAGCCCAGAGCCUGAAUCAGUGUGUGUGUUAGUGGAAGCGUCUGGAAAGGCGCGCGAUACAGGGUGACAGCCCCGUACACAAAAAUGCACAUGCUGUGAGCUCGAUGAGUAGGGCGGGACACGUGGUAUCCUGUCUGAAUAUGGGGGGACCAUCCUCCAAGGCUAAAUACUCCUGACUGACCGAUAGUGAACCAGUACCGUGAGGGAAAGGCGAAAAGAACCCCGGCGAGGGGAGUGAAAAAGAACCUGAAACCGUGUACGUACAAGCAGUGGGAGCCUCUUUAUGGGGUGACUGCGUACCUUUUGUAUAAUGGGUCAGCGACUUAUAUUCUGUAGCAAGGUUAACCGAAUAGGGGAGCCGAAGGGAAACCGAGUCUUAACUGGGCGUUAAGUUGCAGGGUAUAGACCCGAAACCCGGUGAUCUAGCCAUGGGCAGGUUGAAGGUUGGGUAACACUAACUGGAGGACCGAACCGACUAAUGUUGAAAAAUUAGCGGAUGACUUGUGGCUGGGGGUGAAAGGCCAAUCAAACCGGGAGAUAGCUGGUUCUCCCCGAAAGCUAUUUAGGUAGCGCCUCGUGAAUUCAUCUCCGGGGGUAGAGCACUGUUUCGGCAAGGGGGUCAUCCCGACUUACCAACCCGAUGCAAACUGCGAAUACCGGAGAAUGUUAUCACGGGAGACACACGGCGGGUGCUAACGUCCGUCGUGAAGAGGGAAACAACCCAGACCGCCAGCUAAGGUCCCAAAGUCAUGGUUAAGUGGGAAACGAUGUGGGAAGGCCCAGACAGCCAGGAUGUUGGCUUAGAAGCAGCCAUCAUUUAAAGAAAGCGUAAUAGCUCACUGGUCGAGUCGGCCUGCGCGGAAGAUGUAACGGGGCUAAACCAUGCACCGAAGCUGCGGCAGCGACGCUUAUGCGUUGUUGGGUAGGGGAGCGUUCUGUAAGCCUGUGAAGGUGUGCUGUGAGGCAUGCUGGAGGUAUCAGAAGUGCGAAUGCUGACAUAAGUAACGAUAAAGCGGGUGAAAAGCCCGCUCGCCGGAAGACCAAGGGUUCCUGUCCAACGUUAAUCGGGGCAGGGUGAGUCGACCCCUAAGGCGAGGCCGAAAGGCGUAGUCGAUGGGAAACAGGUUAAUAUUCCUGUACUUGGUGUUACUGCGAAGGGGGGACGGAGAAGGCUAUGUUGGCCGGGCGACGGUUGUCCCGGUUUAAGCGUGUAGGCUGAUUUUCCAGGCAAAUCCGGAAAAUCAAGGCUGAGGCGUGAUGACGAGGCACUACGGUGCUGAAGCAACAAAUGCCCUGCUUCCAGGAAAAGCCUCUAAGCAUCAGGUAACAUCAAAUCGUACCCCAAACCGACACAGGUGGUCAGGUAGAGAAUACCAAGGCGCUUGAGAGAACUCGGGUGAAGGAACUAGGCAAAAUGGUGCCGUAACUUCGGGAGAAGGCACGCUGAUAUGUAGGUGAAGUCCCUCGCGGAUGGAGCUGAAAUCAGUCGAAGAUACCAGCUGGCUGCAACUGUUUAUUAAAAACACAGCACUGUGCAAACACGAAAGUGGACGUAUACGGUGUGACGCCUGCCCGGUGCCGGAAGGUUAAUUGAUGGGGUCAGCGCAAGCGAAGCUCUUGAUCGAAGCCCCGGUAAACGGCGGCCGUAACUAUAACGGUCCUAAGGUAGCGAAAUUCCUUGUCGGGUAAGUUCCGACCUGCACGAAUGGCGUAAUGAUGGCCAGGCUGUCUCCACCCGAGACUCAGUGAAAUUGAACUCGCUGUGAAGAUGCAGUGUACCCGCGGCAAGACGGAAAGACCCCGUGAACCUUUACUAUAGCUUGACACUGAACAUUGAGCCUUGAUGUGUAGGAUAGGUGGGAGGCUUAGAAGUGUGGACGCCAGUCUGCAUGGAGCCGGCCUUGAAAUACCACCCUUUAAUGUUUGAUGUUCUAACGUGGACCCGUAAUCCGGGUUGCGGACAGUGUCUGGUGGGUAGUUUGACUGGGGCGGUCUCCUCCUAAAGAGUAACGGAGGAGCACGAAGGUUGGCUAAUCCUGGUCGGACAUCAGGAGGUUAGUGCAAUGGCAUAAGCCAGCUUGACUGCGAGCGUGACGGCGCGAGCAGGUGCGAAAGCAGGUCAUAGUGAUCCGGUGGUUCUGAAUGGAAGGGCCAUCGCUCAACGGAUAAAAGGUACUCCGGGGAUAACAGGCUGAUACCGCCCAAGAGUUCAUAUCGACGGCGGUGUUUGGCACCUCGAUGUCGGCUCAUCACAUCCUGGGGCUGAAGUAGGUCCCAAGGGUAUGGCUGUUCGCCAUUUAAAGUGGUACGCGAGCUGGGUUUAGAACGUCGUGAGACAGUUCGGUCCCUAUCUGCCGUGGGCGCUGGAGAACUGAGGGGGGCUGCUCCUAGUACGAGAGGACCGGAGUGGACGCAUCACUGGUGUUCGGGUUGUCAUGCCAAUGGCACUGCCCGGUAGCUAAAUGCGGAAGAGAUAAGUGCUGAAAGCAUCUAAGCACGAAACUUGCCCCGAGAUGAGUUCUCCCUGACUCCUUGAGAGUCCUGAAGGAACGUUGAAGACGACGACGUUGAUAGGCCGGGUGUGUAAGCGCAGCGAUGCGUUGAGCUAACCGGUACUAAUGAACCGUGAGGCUUAACCU
RNAcentral lists this ribosomal RNA (2898 nucleotides) under Shigella boydii 965-58. RNAcentral's name for it is "bacterial LSU rRNA". It matches the Rfam family "Bacterial large subunit ribosomal RNA". The record is from RNAcentral. Lineage: Bacteria; Pseudomonadati; Pseudomonadota; Gammaproteobacteria; Enterobacterales; Enterobacteriaceae.